ACUCCUACGGGAGGCAGCAGUGGGGAAUAUUGCACAAUGGGCGCAAGCCUGAUGCAGCCAUGCCGCGUGUAUGAAGAAGGCCUUCGGGUUGUAAAGUACUUUCAGCAGUGAGGAAGGUAGGUAGUGUUAAUAGCACUAUCAUUUGACGUUAGCUGCAGAAGAAGCACCGGCUAACUCCGUGCCAGCAGCCGCGGUAAUACGGAGGGUGCGAGCGUUAAUCGGAAUUACUGGGCGUAAAGCGCAUGCAGGUGGUUUGUUAAGUCAGAUGUGAAAGCCCGGGGCUCAACCUCGGAAUUGCAUUUGAAACUGGCAGACUAGAGUACUGUAGAGGGGGGUAGAAUUUCAGGUGUAGCGGUGAAAUGCGUAGAGAUCUGAAGGAAUACCGGUGGCGAAGGCGGCCCCCUGGACACGAUACUGACACUCAGAUGCGAAAGCGUGGGGAGCAAACAGGAUUAGA
RNAcentral lists this ribosomal RNA (457 nucleotides) under uncultured bacterium. RNAcentral's name for it is "bacterial SSU rRNA". It matches the Rfam family "Bacterial small subunit ribosomal RNA", at positions 335 to 782 of the family's 1533-position model. The record is from RNAcentral.